ACGCUUGUAGUUCAAGGGUAGAACGGCGGUCUCCAAAACCGUUGAUGGGAGUUCGAAUCUCUCCGGGUGUG
RNAcentral lists this transfer RNA (71 nucleotides) under Spirosoma profusum. It matches the Rfam family "tRNA". From Rfam's summary of the family: Transfer RNA (tRNA) molecules are approximately 80 nucleotides in length. Their secondary structure includes four short double-helical elements and three loops (D, anti-codon, and T loops). The record is from Rfam by way of RNAcentral. Lineage: Bacteria; Pseudomonadati; Bacteroidota; Cytophagia; Cytophagales; Cytophagaceae.